CAUCUACUCCCUCCGUCCCAAAAUUCUUGUCUUAGAUUUGUCUAAAUACGGAUGUAUCUAGUUACGUUUUAGUGUCAGAUACAUCUGUAUCUAGACAAAUAUAAGACAAGAAUUUUGGGACGGAGGGAGUAUAUU
This is a non-coding RNA of Triticum aestivum (bread wheat), 135 nucleotides long. NCBI's taxonomy places the organism in Eukaryota, Viridiplantae, Streptophyta, Magnoliopsida, Poales, Poaceae. The record is from Rfam.